Long non-coding RNA from Dendronephthya gigantea, 612 nucleotides. RefSeq lists it as uncharacterized. The transcript is spliced from 2 exons. NCBI's taxonomy places the organism in Eukaryota, Metazoa, Cnidaria, Anthozoa, Malacalcyonacea, Nephtheidae. The record is from RefSeq and is a predicted model, not a curated record.
UUCCAUAACUAAAUCUAUUGGCAUCUUGCCUUUCAAACAGGAAAUGUACCGUUUGCAGAAGUUAUCGCAUAACUCAUGCACCUAGAGGGACGAAACGCAAGACAUUACUGUAAUGGUUUUGCACCCGCGGAGUCUGUGGGAAGAAGAGUUGUGAAUGCACGAUGGCUUGUUUGGAUUAUUUCGGGAAGUAUUACAAAUUAUAUUUCAAUACAAAUUUGUAUUAAACAGGAAACCUUUUGUCAAUGUACCUCGCAUAUAUACAGAGAAGCAUUCAUAUGGCAACACGUAUUGUCGCUUAUAUAUUUAGUGGAUAUGUAAAUUCAAACAGAGAAGCAUCAAUUCGAAAAACAAACAUCGAUUCAGCCGGGUAAUUUCGCUGCAAUAUCGUAAGCAACAGAGGCGCCCUUGUACGCCAUCAUUUAUACUACACGAAAACAAUAACAAAUAGAUCAAACGCUAGAUAGACUCAUUGUUAUGCAUUGUAAUACCUUUUCCAACUCUAACAAGUGGAAGCGAAGUACUUGUAUUGCUUGAACCAUCUAUAUAAAAAAAUAAGAGUAAAAAUAUAGGCCAUAAUUGUUAAUUGUACGGUUAUAAAGAAGAAAAAAGUGA